GCUGAAACUUUGUUGGGAAUGGCGCCAUAACCCAAAUUUGGUGAUGCAAUUUGGCAACGUGGAAGCUGAGAUUGAAUUCUUCGCUUCCCUCGUCAAAGCUGACGGUUGGCUGAAAGGAGAUGUAAGUUUAAUUGAUUAUGCAUUUGUUUUAAUGUACAUAGAUUAUGAGAUUGACAAGAAAAACAUGUUGCAGCACAUUGAUUUGGGGUUGUAUCUCAUCCGGAAGCGACAACAAGAGUUGGAGGAAGUAGAAAUAUCGGACUGGACAACGACCGAUGUAUUUUUUAUGAAUCACAUUCAUACUUGCUUUGCGGAUAAUAAAAG
Molecule: long non-coding RNA, 324 nt
Organism: Prunus dulcis (almond)
Lineage: Eukaryota; Viridiplantae; Streptophyta; Magnoliopsida; Rosales; Rosaceae
Exons: 3
Source: RefSeq, a predicted model, not a curated record